Non-coding RNA from Kogia breviceps (pygmy sperm whale), 1173 nucleotides. The record is from RefSeq and is a predicted model, not a curated record. NCBI's taxonomy places the organism in Eukaryota, Metazoa, Chordata, Mammalia, Artiodactyla, Physeteridae.
AUGAAGGUCUCCAGAGCCCCUUGCCCUCUCCCCGCUCCCAGCCCCAACACCUUGGACCCAGGACCCGCUCUGGGAGGAGGGUUGGGCCGGGUUCACCCCUCCCUGCCCCCAAGCUCCCACUCCCUGAGGAAUUUCUACACUGGGGUGUCCCAGCCUGGGAUCCCCCCUUCAUCUCUGUCGGCUACGUGGACGACACGCAGUUUGUGCGGUUCGACAGCGAUGCCCCGAAUCCAAGGAUGGAGCCGCAGGUGCCAUGGGUGGAGCAGGAGGGGCCGGAGUAUUGGGAUCGGAACCCGCGGAUCUACAAGCACCAUGCACAGACUUUCCGAGUGGACCUGAACACCCUGCGCAACUACUACAACCAGAGCGAGGCCGAAUCUCUUCAGCCCACUGUCCUCAUGGCAUCAUUGUUGGCCUGGUUCUCUUGGUGGUCACUGGAGCUGUGGUGGCUGGAGCUGUGAUCUGGAGGAAGAAGCACUCCAGGCAGCGACAGUGCCCAGGACUGUGAUGUUAUCUUUCACCAGUCCUAAAGAGCUGUUUCCUGUAUUAUUCUUUCCAUCUUUUCCAAAGAACCCAAAACUGGAAAAGAACAAGAAUUAAACCCUGGAAGUCCCAGUGCUGAUCAGACCACACACCUGAGCAGACUGGAGAGUUUUGGCACUGCGUCUAGACAGCACAGAGACCAGGGAGUCCUAAACUUUAAUUUGCAUAAGAAUCAUCGGGACAUCUUGGUAAGAUUCAGAAGGUCUGUAGUAGGACAUGGGAUUCUGUAUUAUAACAAGGUUGGUGCUGAUUCUGCUCACUUUCAGAUCACAUUUAGUAGCAAGAACGUAGACCAGGAUUCCCACAUGGCUGUGCACCAGCCUUACCUGUAGGGCUUGUUGAAUAAGCAAGUCUUGGGCUCCGUGCCCAGCAUUCUGAGAUGAUGGGUCUGGGAAGAAACCUGAGUAUUUUGCAGCAAUCCUUACAAGCAAUCUUGGGAUUUAGCUGGAUUGGGAACCACUGAGGUCAGUGAUCAGAGAGCGCUCAGGUUGGGGAGGAGCCUUAAAUCCACACUUAAACUUUCAGCCUAAGUGUCCAUCAACAGAUGAAUGGAUAAAGAAGAUGUGGCACAUAUAUACAAUGGAAUAUUACUCAGUCAUAAAGAGAAAUGAGAUUGAGUUAUUUGUAGUG